UGGGGAAUAUUGCACAAUGGGCGCAAGCCUGAUGCAGCCAUGCCGCGUGUGUGAAGAACGCCUUCGGGUUGUAAAGCACUUUCAGCGGGGAGGAAGGCGAUAAGGUUAAUAACCUUGUCGAUUGACGUUACCCGCAGAAUAAGCACCGGCUAACUCCGUGCCAGCAGCCGCGGUAAUACGGAGGGUGCAAGCGUUAAUCGGAAUUACUGGGCGUAAAGCGCACGCAGGCGGUCUGUCAAGUCGGAUGUGAAAUCCCCGGGCUUAACCUGGGAACUGCAUUCGAAACUGGCAGGCUAGAGUCUUGUAGAGGGGGGUAGAAUUCCAGGUGUAGCGGUGAAAUGCGUAGAGAUCUGGAGGAAUACCGGUGGCGAAGGCGGCCCCCUGGACAAAGACUGACGCUCAGGUGCGAAAGCGUGGGGAGCAAACAGG
Molecule: ribosomal RNA, 429 nt
Filed under: Chloroflexota bacterium
Lineage: Bacteria; Bacillati; Chloroflexota
Description: Chloroflexi bacterium partial 16S ribosomal RNA
Rfam family: Bacterial small subunit ribosomal RNA
Source: RNAcentral